AAAGUUUUAUUUCUGGCUCAGGACGAACGCUGGCGGCGUGCCUAAUACAUGCAAGUCGAAUAGUUCUUUUUUUCCCCCGGAGCUUGCUCCACCGGAAAAAGAAGAGUGGCGAACGGGUGAGUAACACGUGGGUAACCUGCCCAUCAGAAGGGGAUAACACUUGGAAACAGGUGCUAAUACCGUAUAACAAUCAAAACCGCAUGGUUUUGAUUUGAAAGGCGCUUUCGGGUGUCGCUGAUGGAUGGACCCGCGGUGCAUUAGCUAGUUGGUGAGGUAACGGCUCACCAAGGCCACGAUGCAUAGCCGACCUGAGAGGGUGAUCGGCCACAUUGGGACUGAGACACGGCCCAAACUCCUACGGGAGGCAGCAGUAGGGAAUCUUCGGCAAUGGACGAAAGUCUGACCGAGCACCCCCGCGUGAGUGAAGAAGGUUUUCGGAUCGUAAAACUCUGUUGUUAGAGAAGAACAAGGAUGAGAGUAACUGUUCAUCCCUUGACGGUAUCUAACCAGAAAGCCACGGCUAACUACGUGCCAGCAGCCGCGGUAAUAAGUAGGUGGCAAGCGUUGUCCGGAUUUAUUGGGCGUAAAGCGAGCGCAGGCGGUUUCUUAAGUCUGAUGUGAAAGCCCCCGGCUCAWCCGGGGAGGGUCAUUGGAAACUGGGAGACUUGAGUGCAGAAGAGGAGAGUGGAAUUCCAUGUGUAGCGGUGAAAUGCGUAGAUAUAUGGAGGAACACCAGUGGCGAAGGCGGCUCUCUGGUCUGUAACUGACGCUGAGGCUCGAAAGCGUGGGGAGCAAACAGGAUUAGAUACCCUGGUAGUCCACGCCGUAAACGAUGAGUGCUAAGUGUUGGAGGGUUUCCGCCCUUCAGUGCUGCAGCUAACGCAUAAGCACCCGCCGGGCCCG
This 903-nucleotide ribosomal RNA is filed under the name Enterococcus faecium. RNAcentral describes it as "bacterial SSU rRNA". It matches the Rfam family "Bacterial small subunit ribosomal RNA", at positions 9 to 873 of the family's 1533-position model. Lineage: Bacteria; Bacillati; Bacillota; Bacilli; Lactobacillales; Enterococcaceae. The record is from RNAcentral.